CAUUCACCUUCCCGGCGUCGAGGUUCCCCAGCCGGUCUGUUACCGACCUCACCCCUGAGUGUCCCCACAGCCCGGCUCUCAGGUGCCGGACAGGUCUUUCCUACUCCCUCCUGCCUGUUCUGCCGGCCCCCAGGGCGAACCGCAAGACCGUUUAGAUAAAUCCGGCUCCUGUUUCUCUGCGGGGAGUUUAGGCUUGGUUAUUCUUCUCACUAUGGCUUUUCAGUUCUCCCUGCCCCAGUGCCGCCCGGCUGGGGAGAAACUCAACGCGGCUGAUUUCCGCCAGCUCACUGACACAUAAAUAGUUUUUCUCCUUUUUCAUUUUUUUUUUCUUUUUUUUUUUUUUUUUUUUUUUUUUUUUUUUUUUUUUUUUCCUUUUUUUCUCUAAAGUAAUUUUUGGCAGCGGCCGGUCUGCGCCCUUGGGGCCACUCGCAGCUCAGGCGGCCCCAGGGCCGGCAGAGGCCCCGCUCCGGACAGAUGGACAGAUGCUCGGCGGUGGACGUGUGGCUGCGGCCGCAGCGGGGUGGGCUCGCUCCCCGGCGGGCUCCGGAGGGAGCACCCCCCGCCCCGUCCUCUGCCCCGCCAGAACUCCCGGCGUCGGAAUUUUCCGAGGGAAAAAAGAGAGGUUCAGAGCAGUCUCAACCCUGCGGCCAGUGGAUCUGGGAGAGCCCUUCCGAUAGGCGACUUGGGAUGUUGCAAAGGAGAGAAAAGAAAAGGGUAAGAGGAGAAAUCCGUAUGCGCCCACCUGUGAGCGCCUUGUCCACUGUGCUGUCUCCCAGCUAUUCAGUCUAGCAGAGUUCGGGUUUUUUUCAAGCCCGUUUCCCACAAGAGGGAAGCUCGCCGAGUGCAACAGGUCGCUUCAGCUUCUCCCGGGACCUCACGAAACCGAGUGUCCCUUUCCUGUCCUUCCUCCCGCGGCUCCCCGCGUCGCGACUUUGCUCUGGGAUACUCUUAGAAGGGGGAUGCGGGACGUCCCGCUUGGACAAGGCGCGGAGCCGUCGCCCCUGCGCAGCCCCUUCAGAGGAGCAAGAGAAGGAUGAGGAUGCUGUGUCCCUGAGUUACGGCACUGUGGUACCUUUCCGCGCGUCUCUGCCAUUCCCCCUCACACCCCACAUCCCCUAACGAGACCCCCUUCGCUCCCGGCCCGCUGUGUGAAUCCCCAGCGUGCUGUCAGGAGGCUGAUCAUUUUGCAAAUCAGCAAAUAAAUACUUAUAAAUGCA
This 1217-nucleotide long non-coding RNA is filed under the name Parus major (Great Tit). Its description in RNAcentral is "lncRNA (ENSPMJG00000018292.1)". Lineage: Eukaryota; Metazoa; Chordata; Aves; Passeriformes; Paridae. The record is from RNAcentral.